AUCCUGCGUGAAAUUUCAAGAAAC
Molecule: non-coding RNA, 24 nt
Filed under: Arabidopsis thaliana (thale cress)
Lineage: Eukaryota; Viridiplantae; Streptophyta; Magnoliopsida; Brassicales; Brassicaceae
Source: RNAcentral